RNAcentral lists this ribosomal RNA (540 nucleotides) under uncultured Geobacteraceae bacterium. RNAcentral's name for it is "bacterial SSU rRNA". It matches the Rfam family "Bacterial small subunit ribosomal RNA", at positions 9 to 526 of the family's 1533-position model. The record is from RNAcentral. Lineage: Bacteria; Pseudomonadati; Thermodesulfobacteriota; Desulfuromonadia; Geobacterales; Geobacteraceae.
GAGUUUGAUCCUGGCUCAGAACGAACGCUGGCGGCGUGCCUAACACAUGCAAGUCGAACGUGAUCCAGAGCUUGCUCUGGUGAAAGUGGCGCACGGGUGAGUAACGCGUGGAUAACCUACCCUGGUAUCCGGGAUAACAUUCCGAAAGGGGUGCUAAUACCGGAUAAGCCCACGGGCUCUUUGGAGCUUGCGGGAAAAGGUGGCCUCUAUUUAUAAGCUACUGUAUCAGGAUGGGUCCGCGUACCAUUAGCUAGUUGGCGGUGUAACGGACCACCAAGGCGACGAUGGUUAGCUGGUCUGAGAGGAUGAUCAGCCACACUGGAACUGAGACACGGUCCAGACUCCUACGGGAGGCAGCAGUGGGGAAUUAUGCGCAAUGGGGGAAACCCUGACGCAGCAACGCCGCGUGAGUGAUGAAGGCCUUUGGGUCGUAAAGCUCUGUCAGAGGGGAAGAAAUGAUAUAGUGCUAAUACCACUUUAUCUUGACGGUACCCUCAAAGGAAGCACCGGCUAACUCCGUGCCAGCAGCCGCGGUAAUAC